UCCUGGCUCAGGAGUGAACGCUGGCGGCGUGCCUAACACAUGCAAGUCGAGCGGUAGAUACUUAAACAAAUCUUCGGAAGAGUGAGGGUGUUGAGAGCGGCGGACGGGUGAGUAACGCGUAGGCAACCUGCCCCAUACAGAGGGAUAGCCUCGGAAACCGGGAUUAAAACCUCAUAACGCGAAAGAGUCACAUGGCUUUUUCGCCAAAGAUUUAUCGGUAUGGGAUGGGCCUGCGUCUGAUUAGCUAGUUGGUGGGGUAACGGCUCACCAAGGCAACGAUCAGUAGCCGACCUGAGAGGGUAAUCGGCCACAUUGGAACUGAGACACGGUCCAAACUCCUACGGGAGGCAGCAGUGGGGAAUAUUGCACAAUGGGCGAAAGCCUGAAUGCAGCAACGCCGCGUGAGCGAUGAAGGCCUUUGGGUCGUAAAGCUCUGUCCUAGGGGAAGAAUAAAUGACGGUACCCUUGGAGGAAGCCCCGGCUAACUACGUGCCAGCAGCCGC
Molecule: ribosomal RNA, 503 nt
Filed under: uncultured bacterium
Lineage: Bacteria
Description: bacterial SSU rRNA
Rfam family: Bacterial small subunit ribosomal RNA
Source: RNAcentral